GACGAACGCUGGCGGCGUGCUUAACACAUGCAAGUCGAACGGAAAGGCCCUGCGUUUGUGGGGUGCUCGAGUGGCGAACGGGGGAGUAACACGUGAGUAACCUGCCCUUGACUGUGGGAUAACUUCAGGAAACUGGGGCUAAUACCGGAUAGGAGCUCCUGCUGCAUGGUGGGGGUUGGAAAGUUUCGGCGGCUGGGGAUGGACUCGCGGCUUAUCAGCUUGUUGGUGGGGUAGUGGCUUACCAAGGCUUUGACGGGUAGCCGGCCUGAGAGGUUGACCGGCCACAUUGGGACUGAGAUACGGACCAGAAUCCUAUGGGAGGCAGCAGUGGGGAAUAUUGCACAGUGGGCGGAAGCCUGAUGCAGCAACGCCGCGUGCGGGAUGACGGCCUUCGGGUUGUAAACCGCUUUCGCCUGUGACGAAGCGUGAGUGACGGUAAUGGGUAAAGAAGCACCGGCUAACUACGUG
Molecule: ribosomal RNA, 468 nt
Filed under: uncultured bacterium
Lineage: Bacteria
Description: partial 16S ribosomal RNA
Rfam family: Bacterial small subunit ribosomal RNA
Source: RNAcentral